UGUGUUCCUCGUUUGGGUGACAGGAUC
This 27-nucleotide non-coding RNA is filed under the name Homo sapiens (human). The record is from RNAcentral. Lineage: Eukaryota; Metazoa; Chordata; Mammalia; Primates; Hominidae.